RNAcentral lists this ribosomal RNA (422 nucleotides) under uncultured microorganism. RNAcentral's name for it is "bacterial SSU rRNA". It matches the Rfam family "Bacterial small subunit ribosomal RNA", at positions 9 to 429 of the family's 1533-position model. The record is from RNAcentral.
GAGUUUGAUCAUGGCUCAGAUUGAACGCUGGCGGCAUGCCUUACACAUGCAAGUCGAACGGCAGCAUGAUCUAGCUUGCUAGAUUGAUGGCGAGUGGCGAACGGGUGAGUAAUACAUCGGAACGUGCCCUGUAGUGGGGGAUAACUAGUCGAAAGAUUAGCUAAUACCGCAUACGACCUGAGGGUGAAAGUGGGGGACCGCAAGGCCUCAUGCUAUAGGAGCGGCCGAUGUCUGAUUAGCUAGUUGGUGGGGUAAAGGCCCACCAAGGCGACGAUCAGUAGCUGGUCUGAGAGGACGAUCAGCCACACUGGGACUGAGACACGGCCCAGACUCCUACGGGAGGCAGCAGUGGGGAAUUUUGGACAAUGGGCAAAAGCCUGAUCCAGCAAUGCCGCGUGUGUGAAGAAGGCCUCGGUUGUAAG